AAGUGGGGGCAACUCCAUGAGUACAGCGGCGACCGGGUGAGUAACACGUGACUAACCUACCCUUGAGUGGGGAAUAACUCCGGGAAACCGGAGCUAAUACCGCAUAACACCGCAAGGUCAAAGGAGCAAUUCGCUUAAGGAGGGGGUCGCGGUUGAUUAGCUAGUUGGUGGGGUAAUGGCCCACCAAGGCGAUGAUCAAUAGCCGGCCUGAGAGGGCGCACGGCCACACUGGAACUGAAACACGGUCCAGACUCCUACGGGAGGCGGCAGUGGGGAAUUUUGCGCAAUGGGGGAAACCCUGACGCAGCAACGCCGCGUGAAGGAUGAAGGUCUUUGGA
Molecule: ribosomal RNA, 338 nt
Filed under: uncultured bacterium
Lineage: Bacteria
Description: bacterial SSU rRNA
Rfam family: Bacterial small subunit ribosomal RNA
Source: RNAcentral